This is a microRNA precursor of Monodelphis domestica (gray short-tailed opossum), 58 nucleotides long. The record is from Ensembl. Lineage: Eukaryota; Metazoa; Chordata; Mammalia; Didelphimorphia; Didelphidae.
UAGUCCCAACUCCGCCACUAAGGUCGCAUAGUUGUUUAGUGGAAGAACUGGGAUUAGA